ACUGGGAAGAAGAGCAGGUCAGCAGUCCAAAUAUUCUACGACUCAUUUAUCAAGGGCGAUUUCUACAUGGAAAUGUCACAUUAGGAGCAUUAAAACUUCCUUUUGGCAAAACAACAGUGAUGCAUUUGGUGGCCAGAGAGACAUUGCCAGAGCCAAACUCUCAAGGUCAGAGGAAUCGUGAGAAGACUGGCGAGAGUAAUUGUUGUGUAAUCCUGUAAACACUGUCUGCCUAGUGUGAUGUGAUAUAGUCUUUGUCUUUCAUGCUGCUGGGACAGAAAAGACCCGCCAUUGCUUGAGAAACCGUUCAGAACAGUCUGCUGUAAGCCCAUGGAACUGAAUGACCACAUGAACACUGUCCUCUUUUCUCAUGAAAGUAAAAGCACCAAGAACAUUUUUCACUCUGAUUUUUUAUUUCUCCUCUUUUUAUGUUGAGCUGUUUUAAAACAUACUGGUUUUUGAAUGUCAAUCUCCAGGGGAAAAGUUAACAAGUUAUCUUUCGUAGCAGAAACCAUUUUGCUGCCACAAAAUUUUCAUCAUCAGAACUAAUAAAGCAAGUGUUCCAAAUACAAUUUGCACUAAAAAGAUUGGCAUUAUUUUGCCCAUCAGCAGAAUUUAUAACAGUUUAUGGUACCUAGAAAUACUUACAUAUACAAUUCCACACUGGAAGACACUCAGCAAUUAAUGAAGUUAAUUACUGGGCCAACUUGAGAGGAAAAAAUGGAAAAGAAACAAAAAUGUUGGGUGAAUUCUACCAAAGUCAGCCGUGGUGGCUGCACUGGCACAGAAUACUAAACUGAGUGUGACUCUUUUCACUGCAACAAAUGAAAAAACAAAAUGUGCCUGUUUAAAGCACUCAGUAGAGGGCUGAUGAAACUGAUUUUUUUCCCUUUAAGACAUGCACUCUUGAGUCCUGCAGUAACUGAGCGCUUGUUUAGACAGCACAAGAAGGGGUGAGAGUGCGUCUCCUAGCCUUAAUGUGGGAGGGUAGUUCCAGUCACUCAUCGGCUUUCCUUAUUGUGCAGAAAUAUUAGAAAACCUCAUUGAUCAAUUUUACGUAUUUGAAUAUCAGUGAAUUGAAAUUUUCCAUAAUUAUCAUUCAUUUGUAAUCACAUCCAGUGUCAUUCUUACUCCUUAGAGAGUUCAAAUGAAUUCUUAAAAUUUAAAAAGAAAAACUCCAUAGUACUAAUUUUGUUUCUUUAUAUAGUUUGCAUUUGAUAUUAGUGCUUGCAAUUGUAUUAAAGUCAAAAGCUGAUUUUUAUGGCAUACACAAUUAAGAAUGCCACUUUUUCUUUUAUUUCAUACCAAUAAUUUAAAGAUUGAUAUGCUAAAAACAAUUUGCACAGCACUAAAGCAUGAGCUAGUUUCAUCUAAACCUGUAAAAAUAUGAAAGAUUUUAUAUUUUUUCACUGGGAAGAAAUUCUUCCUGGGUGAAAUUACAAAUAUGUGUAGAAUAUAUUUAAUAAAAGACUUAUAAAAUACCUAACUAUAGGACUUAAAAUAUAGAUUGGCUUGUAGUAUAUAGAACAAUAUUCCAUAUAAAUAAAUUUAGCCUUUAUAAAAAUGAAGUUACAGGCUGGCAUUACAUUCUGUACUUACUAAGUGUCAACAGCCCUUAAAAACAUUAAAUGUAAAUGGUUUCAAAUGGUCAGCGUUGUUUAAAUGUAAUCAGGUUAUUUUAUUCAUUGUUAAUGCUUUGAUGAAAAGGCUUUAUACGCAGUAGAUCUACGAAAAUAUUGUUCAUACUGAUCAGAAUUAAAUUUGUAUAGAGCAGAGUUUUAAAACGAAUGUAAAUAGCACUAAACAUUUUCUUUCUGCAACCUGUACUUAUAGAUUCUUCCUGUAAACUAAAUAAAAAAAAAAAUCAUAGUGCAUUUUGGUGGUAAUUUUAAAGGUCUUGAUUAGGUCAAUAAUUGUUAAAGCACUGUCUCAUUCAUGUUUUCUACUUUUAUUUCUUAAGCUUUUAAAAUUCAUUUAAUUAAUAUUCUGUUGUUGGUUUGGGGAGUAUUCCCAAUGUAUCUUUGAUAUUUAACAUGGUUAAUUUGUAUACAGUCACAACAAUGGAUAGAAUUAUGUAGUCUGUGUUAUCACUAAAAUGUUAUAUUCAAGAGAUGUUAAAUAUAUGCUUUGUUGACUAGCUGAAAUGUGAAUUCUGUUAGUGUUGACUAAAGAAUCUGGUAGUUGCUUAAUUGGGCAAUUAAAACAAUUUAUGGCUCUAUUCUUUUGUAAAACAAACUACUGGUAAUUAUUUUUAAUACUUAUUUUCAUUCUAAUUACUCUUUUUUUAAGUUAAAGACUAUCAGUUAAUUAAGAUUGAGUUUUUAUGAUGUUUAAAAAUCUCUAUUGGUUUUUCAAUAUAUUUUUCUGUGUGUUCUCAGAUUAUAUAUUUCAAUCAAUUUAGAGUUUGCUAAGUGAGAUAAACUGGUUCACUAGUAGAGAAAGAAUUAUGUCGCUUAAUACCUAAUAUCAUAGUUGUACAACAUGAAAAAAAAUAAAAAGUAGCAGUAAAAGUAUAUACUGAAAACACCAAAAAUUUAGAUGCCUUAAUAGUAUAUACGUGAAAAUACUCAGCUGCCCCUUUAAAAAUAAUUUCUUGGACUGCCUGGUGGUUAAAAUACGAUUCCUCAUAUCCAAGGCUACUUUUGAAGAUCCCUCUGCCAAAAGUACAGCGUGCUUAUCUAAAAGUGAGAGCUGCAUAGAUCCAGUAAUGUACAUAAAGCCUGAAUGAUGAGCCUAUGUCCCUGCCUAACGCUGGUGUCUCACUCAUCUCUUUUAUCUAAUUUGUCCUGAACUUUGUUAAGUGUUCCGGAUGAGGCCAAGCUUUUCUUUAUUAAAACCUUAGCAUGUCUCCCUGAUCUGAACUAUUUGCUUUCUCUUCAAGAUAAGUUGUAUUUUGCCAUGAAAAAAUACAGUAUCUAACGUUACCAUUCACAUUAAAUGAAGUUUCCGCAUAACAUCUAUCUUUAGUUUUAUGAAGUCAUCGUGACCAAUGUUACAGUAAUUUCUGUUAGCUGAUUGUGGUAAGCAAUGUUUAAUGUGAAAAGAAAUUAAAACUUCAUCUGUUGUAGAA
Mandrillus leucophaeus (drill) is the source of this 3067-nucleotide long non-coding RNA. RefSeq lists it as uncharacterized. NCBI's taxonomy places the organism in Eukaryota, Metazoa, Chordata, Mammalia, Primates, Cercopithecidae. The transcript is spliced from 3 exons. The record is from RefSeq and is a predicted model, not a curated record.